UGGUAUUCAGGUGUGGUUCUUGGUAGUCUCUCUGUAUGUUUGGCGUUAUUUUUUCCAUAUAGCUAUGUCACUUCUAGAAGUACAAAUCAGUUGUAAAUUGAACCCGUCCUUGUUGUUCUAGCUUGACCGCAUCAUUUAAGCGUUAUGGUCAAAAUAAAAGUUUUCCUAAGAAGCCCAUCAACAUUCCUAUUAUAACAUAACAGCAACCAAAGACGUCUUCAGGAGUGAAGAAAAGCACUUGGGAGAUUAAGAGCUUCGUUUAUUGAAAUUAAUAAUUUAUGAUGACUAUUUUCUCCCCAGGCAUUGAACACUGCUGAAAAAACUUGGCUGAAAAAGCGAACAUAUCAAGACCAAGAUCAUAGCUGCGUCUACACCGUAAAACUCGGUCUCAGUCAAACGAACUACACAUUUGAGCAGCACUUCAAGACGCGUGGUCAAGAAAUACACCGCACGCUGUACGCAAAGCUAGAAGAUGGCAGUACUGGUCCUUCGAUGUUAGUCAGCGCAAGACCUGAUGAAACAGGCGGCCUACCAUACACUCUGAAGUUCUGGAAUGAACAAGAAAGGUGUGGUAUCCUCCAACUUCAUUAUGAAGGCAAAAAUCACUACGAAAUGCACACAUGGGAUAGUAAAGUUGACCAGACAGCAACAAAUUGCGAAAGGAACUACAAUAAUUUUAUGGGCAAAGGAACAUCAUACGACGUUUAUGCAAGCAGCUGCAAGUCUGCCGCCUAGAGACGCUGAUGUGAAAGUUUCUCACAUGAUCGGCCUCUUGGUGAAAAUUCAAUCUGAAAAGUAUAGUUUGUAGAAUGUAGCAGUAAAUUAGAGUAUUUCUUAAAAAUCAGAAAGGUCUCUUUGUUUACAUCCCAUCCUUCAUUAGAAGAAUUGUUGACAACGUCAGCAGGCUUUCUUUGACAUUCUCCCGCUUGCAGCCGGCACUACUUCUUUACCCAUCCUACCGAGGUUCCUCGAGAAACAAAAAUCAAGUGAUCUCCGAGUUGUCUACGCCAGCACAAUUUA
This 1020-nucleotide long non-coding RNA is filed under the name Dermacentor andersoni. RNAcentral describes it as "uncharacterized LOC126538285". Lineage: Eukaryota; Metazoa; Arthropoda; Arachnida; Ixodida; Ixodidae. The record is from RNAcentral.